ACUACGGGAGGCAGCAGUGAGGAAUAUUGGUCAAUGGGAGAGAUCCUGAACCAGCCAAGCCGCGUGAGGGAAGACGGCCCUAUGGGUUGUAAACCUCUUUUGUCGGAGAACAAAACCCGGGACGUGUCCCGGACUUCGUGUAUCCGAAGAAAAAGCAUCGGCUAACUCCGUGCCAGCAGCCGCGGUAAUACGGAGGAUGCGAGCGUUAUCCGGAUUUAUUGGGGUUAAAGGGUGCGUGGGCGGUCCGUUAAGUCAGCGGGAAAAUUGCGGGGCUCAACCCCGUCGGGCCGUUGAAACUGGCAGACUUGAGUUGGCGAGAAGUACGCGGAAUGCGCGGUGUAGCGGUGAAAUGCAGAGAUAUCGCGCAGAACUCCGAUUGCGAAGGCAGCGUACCGGCGCCAGACUGACGCUGAGGCACGAAAGCGUGGGGAGCAAACAGGAUUAGAUACCCCUGUAGUC
Molecule: ribosomal RNA, 459 nt
Filed under: uncultured bacterium
Lineage: Bacteria
Description: partial 16S ribosomal RNA
Rfam family: Bacterial small subunit ribosomal RNA
Source: RNAcentral